RNAcentral lists this ribosomal RNA (300 nucleotides) under uncultured Vagococcus sp. Its description in RNAcentral is "bacterial SSU rRNA". It matches the Rfam family "Bacterial small subunit ribosomal RNA", at positions 496 to 795 of the family's 1533-position model. Lineage: Bacteria; Bacillati; Bacillota; Bacilli; Lactobacillales; Enterococcaceae. The record is from RNAcentral.
GCUAACUCUGUGUCGGGAGCCGGGGGAAUACAGGGGGUGAAAGCGGUAAUCGGAAGUACUGGGCGUAAAGCGAACGUUGGUGGCUGGGUAAGUUGGGUGUGAAAUCCCCGGGCUUAACUUGGGAAUUGCAUUCAAGACUGCCGUGCUAGAGUGUGGAAGAGGGAAGCGGAAUUCCAGGUGUAGCGGUGAAAUGCGUAGAUAUCUGGAGGAACAUCAGUGGCGAAGGCGGCUUCCUGGUCCAACACUGACACUGAGGUGCGAAAGCGUGGGGAGCAAACAGGAUUAGAUACCCUUGUAGUC